RNAcentral lists this ribosomal RNA (27 nucleotides) under Maxillaria endresii. Its description in RNAcentral is "partial 26S ribosomal RNA". The record is from RNAcentral. Lineage: Eukaryota; Viridiplantae; Streptophyta; Magnoliopsida; Asparagales; Orchidaceae.
GCGACCCCAGGACGGGCGAGGCCACCC